UCAUGAUCUUUGUGUACAAAGUCGAGAACUUGAGAGAUGUUUUAUGUUUCUUUCGGGGGAGCCAAAUGGGGGCAUGAGUUAAUGGAAGGAGAGAUGAAUAUCAUGUCCUCUCUGUUGCAAUACAUUCUAGUAAGAUUGUACUUCCAUAUAAUGUUAUGUCUUGGGGAACUUGGUGGCAGUGAUGUCAUUGAUAAUCCCAGCUCUAUGAGAUCUUCAAUUUGAAGAUCCAGGAAUAGAUGUUAUCAAUUUCUGUCUGAGCCUAUUACACUGUUCUAGUAUUUCUAUCUGAGCCUAUAACAUUCUUCGAGUAAGAUAUUUCAUUAUAGUUUAGUAAUUUUGAGUCUUGAGGAACUUGGUGGCAGUGAUGUCAUUGAUAAUCCCAGCUCUAUGAGACCUUCAAUUUGAAGGUCCAGGAAUAGAUGUUAUCAAUUUCUGUCUGAGCCUAUAACACUGUUAUACUACAUUUUGUUUUAUAAUCUCAAGUCUUCAGAAACUUGUUGGCAGUGAUGUCAUUGAUAAUCCCAGCUCUAUGAGACCUUCAAUUUGAAGGUCCAGGAAUAGAUAUUAUUAGUUUCUGUCUGAGCCUAUAACACUGUUCUAGUUCAUUUUGCUUUUAUAAUCUCAAGUCUUCAGGGACUUGGUGGCAGUGAUGUCAUUGAUAAUCCCAGCUCUAUGAGACCUUCAAUUUGAAGGUCCAGGAAUAGAUGUUAUCCGUUUCUGCCAGAGCCUAUAGCAAUGCUCUAGUUCAUUUUGCUUUUAUAAUCUCAAGUCUUCAGUUACUUGGUGGCAGUGAUGUCAUUGAUAAUCCCAGCUCUAUGAGACCUUCAAUUUGAAGGUCCAAGAAUAGAUGUUAUCAUUUUCUGUCUGAGCCUAUAACACUGUUCUCGUUCAUUUUGCUUUUAUAAUCUCAAGUCUUCAGGAACAUGUUGGCAGUGAUGUCAUUGAUAAUCCCAGCUCUAUGAGACCUUCAAUUUGAAGGUCCAGGAAUAGAUGUUAUCACUUUCUGUCUGAGCCUAUAACACUGUUAUACUACAUUUUGUUUUAUAAUCUCAAGUCUUCAGAAACUUGUUGGCAGUGAUGUCAUUGAUAAUCCCAGCUCUAUGAGACCUUCAAUUUGAAGGUCCAGGAAUAGAUGUUAUCACUUUCUGUCUGAGCCUAUAACACUGUUAUACUACAUUUUGUUUUAUAAUCUCAAGUCUUCAGAAACUUGUUGGCAGUGAUGUCAUUGAUAAUCCCAGCUCUAUGAGACCUUCAAUUUGAAGGUCCAGGAAUAGAUAUUAUUAGUUUCUGUCUGAGCCUAUAACACUGUUCUAGUUCAUUUUGCUUUUAUAAUCUCAAGUCUUCAGGGACUUGGUGGCAGUGAUGUCAUUGAUAAUCCCAGCUCUAUGAGACCUUCAAUUUGAAGGUCCAGGAAUAGAUGUUAUCAUUCUCUGUCUGAGCCUAUAACACUGUUCUCGUUCAUUUUGCUUUUAUAAUCUCAAGUCUUCAGGAACUUGGUGGCAGUGAUGUCAUUGAUAAUCCCAGCUCUAUGAGACCUUCAAUUUGAAGGUCCAGGAAUAGAUGUUAUCAGUUUCUGUCUGAGCCUAUAACACUGUUCCAGUUCAUUUUGCUUUAUAAUCUCAAGUCUUGAGGAACUUGCUGGCUAUGAUGAUCAUUGAUAAUCCCAGCUCUAUGAGAUCUUCAAUUGGAAGGUCUAGGAGUAUUAUAUGUUUUCAAUUUCUGCCUGAGCCUAAUAAUAUUCUUCGAGUAAGAUAUUUUAUUAUACUUUGAUAUUUUACAGUCCUGAGGAACUUGGUGGCAGUGAUGUCAUUGAUAAUCCCAGCUCUAUGAGAUCUUCAAUUUGAAGGUCCAGGAAUAGAUGUUAUCAAUUUCUGUCUGAGCCUAUAACACUGUUCCAGUUCAUUUUGCAUUUAUAAUCUCAAGUCUUGAGGAACUUGCUGGCUAUGAUGAUCAUUGAUAAUCCCAGCUCUAUGAGAUCUUCAAUUGGAAGGUCUAGGAGUAUUAUAUGUUUUCAAUUUCUGCCUGAGCCUAAUAAUAUUCUUUGAGUAAGAUAUUUUAUUAUACUUUGAUAUUUUACAGUCUUGAGGAACUUGGUGGCAGUGAUGUCAUUGAUAAUCCCAGCUCUAUGAGAUCUUCAAUUUGAAGGUCUAGGAAUAGAUGUUAUCAAUUUCUGUCUGAGCCUAUAAUGUUGUUCAAGGAA
This is a long non-coding RNA of Populus trichocarpa (black cottonwood), 2200 nucleotides long. RefSeq lists it as uncharacterized. Lineage: Eukaryota; Viridiplantae; Streptophyta; Magnoliopsida; Malpighiales; Salicaceae. The record is from RefSeq and is a predicted model, not a curated record. The transcript is spliced from 2 exons.